GUUCUAUUACACCAGUAUCCCAGGCUAGGAGAGGAUUGAGCGCUCACAAACUUGCCUCCUCCACAUUCUCAAUGUGCCUGUCCAAAGUCAGGAGCCUGUCGUUCAGUGGUUGUUGUUGGUUCAUUUCUGCCAUAUUGUUCUUCGUAAAUUGUAAUACAUUAGGCCGUUAUCUUUUUCAUAUUGAAUUGUUUCAUAUUUUUUUUAUGUCGGGGCCUUUUAUAGAUGAAUAUACGGUAUGGCUGUUUCUUAUAAUGUUGAAGGUCGUAUGGUUGCCUUUAACUGCUCGCAUUCACCUCAUCUGAACAUUCGUGGGUAACUGUCUCAUUGGUAAUCAUACCAAAGAGAUCCAAACUUUCCAAAAACUUUUAAUUUUUUUCAAGUAUUUAUAAUUUUAUGAAAAUGAGGAAAGUAAUGAUGUUUCAUUUAAAAGAAAUGACUUCACCUGCACGUGACAUACUG
Molecule: long non-coding RNA, 459 nt
Filed under: Mytilus galloprovincialis (Mediterranean mussel)
Lineage: Eukaryota; Metazoa; Mollusca; Bivalvia; Mytilida; Mytilidae
Source: RNAcentral